Molecule: transfer RNA, 67 nt
Filed under: Neoceratodus forsteri (Australian lungfish)
Lineage: Eukaryota; Metazoa; Chordata; Ceratodontiformes; Ceratodontidae
Description: tRNA-Ser (AGY)
Source: RNAcentral
GAGAGAGGCCCAGGGCAAUAAGACCUGCUAAUUCUUAAUUCUGUGGGUCAACUCCACAGCUCACUCG